GAGGGUAUAGCUCAAGUGGUAGAGCACAUACUUAGCAGGCACAAGGUCCUGGGUUCAAUCCCCAGUACCCCCU
Molecule: transfer RNA, 73 nt
Filed under: Camelus bactrianus (Bactrian camel)
Lineage: Eukaryota; Metazoa; Chordata; Mammalia; Artiodactyla; Camelidae
Also listed under: 2 other names
Rfam family: tRNA
About the family: Transfer RNA (tRNA) molecules are approximately 80 nucleotides in length. Their secondary structure includes four short double-helical elements and three loops (D, anti-codon, and T loops). Further hydrogen bonds mediate the characteristic L-shaped molecular structure. tRNAs have two regions of fundamental functional importance: the anti-codon, which is responsible for specific mRNA codon recognition, and the 3' end, to which the tRNAs corresponding amino acid is attached (by aminoacyl-tRNA synthetases). tRNAs cope with the degeneracy of the genetic code in two manners: having more than one tRNA (with a specific anti-codon) for a particular amino acid; and 'wobble' base-pairing, i.e. permitting non-standard base-pairing at the 3rd anti-codon position.
Source: Rfam by way of RNAcentral